This 21-nucleotide non-coding RNA is filed under the name Arabidopsis thaliana (thale cress). The record is from RNAcentral. Lineage: Eukaryota; Viridiplantae; Streptophyta; Magnoliopsida; Brassicales; Brassicaceae.
CCGAUAGCGAACAAGUACCGC